CAACUGUCAAGAAGAUCCACUCCUGCCCGAUGGCCUCAAGGGUCUUCGACUUGUCGAGCUUCUUCAUUACUUCAGUUCCGGGGUUCGCCAACACAAGCUGAAGGCCUCUUCUGACGAUACUCUUUUUCACUUCAUCGAGCAUGCUAAUUCCACUCGUGUCAAUGCUGGGUACAGCUCCCAUAUCCAGAACUACAUACUGCAAGCUUCUCUCCCCUUUCGAUUUCAGCAUCUCUUCCUCGUCAGCAAUCCAUCUUAAGAUCCUCUCUCGUAGGUAACUAGCAUUGGCAAAG
RNAcentral lists this unclassified non-coding RNA (290 nucleotides) under Hevea brasiliensis (rubber tree). Lineage: Eukaryota; Viridiplantae; Streptophyta; Magnoliopsida; Malpighiales; Euphorbiaceae. The record is from RNAcentral.